This 167-nucleotide non-coding RNA is filed under the name bovine gut metagenome. RNAcentral describes it as "Lysine riboswitch". It matches the Rfam family "Lysine riboswitch aptamer". From Rfam's summary of the family: Riboswitches are metabolite binding domains within certain messenger RNAs that serve as precision sensors for their corresponding targets. Allosteric rearrangement of mRNA structure is mediated by ligand binding, and this results in modulation of gene expression. This family includes riboswitches that sense lysine in a number of genes involved in lysine metabolism, including lysC. The record is from RNAcentral.
UGAUAGAGGUCGCGAUCGACAAGAGUAGCCCGUGUGCAGGCAGGCAAGCGCAGGCGGGGGAAAGGGGAGAUCGCCGAGGAGCGGACCAGCAGCCUGAGCUCGUCCGUGUCCGGGGCAGCGGAGAACAUCCGUUGAACUGUCGCCCGAAGGGGCGGAGAGCUGUCAGA